UACAGAGGUCUCAAGCGUUGUUCGGAAUUACUGGGCGUAAAGGGUGCGUAGGCUGCACGGUAAGUCAGAGGUGAAAUCCCGGAGCUCAACUUCGGAAUUGCCUCCGAUACUGCCGUGCUUGAGGACUGGAGAGGAGUCUGGAAUUCACAGUGGAGCAGUGAAAUGCGUAGAUACCGAGAGGAACACCAAAAGCGAAAGCAUGAUGCUAGAACACUUCUGACACUCAGGGACGAAAGCGUGGGGAGCGGAUCGG
This 253-nucleotide unclassified non-coding RNA is filed under the name uncultured Verrucomicrobiota bacterium. RNAcentral's name for it is "uncultured Verrucomicrobia bacterium contains 16S-23S intergenic spacer region". It matches the Rfam family "Bacterial small subunit ribosomal RNA", at positions 524 to 776 of the family's 1533-position model. Lineage: Bacteria; Pseudomonadati; Verrucomicrobiota. The record is from RNAcentral.